RNAcentral lists this ribosomal RNA (492 nucleotides) under uncultured bacterium. RNAcentral describes it as "partial 16S ribosomal RNA". It matches the Rfam family "Bacterial small subunit ribosomal RNA", at positions 29 to 507 of the family's 1533-position model. The record is from RNAcentral.
AGUGAACGCUGGCGGUAGGCCUAACACAUGCAAGUCGAACGGCAGCACAGUAAGAGCUUGCUAUUACGGGUGGCGAGUGGCGUACGGGUGAGGAAUACAUCGGAAUCUACUUUUUCGAGGGGGAUAACGUAGGGAAACUUACGCUAAUACCGCAUACGACCUACGGGUGAAAGCAGGGGCUCUUCGGACCUUGCGCGAUUGAAUGAGCCGAUGUCGGAUUAGCUAGUUGGCGGGGUAAAGGCCCACCAAGGCGACGAUCCGUAGCUGGUCUGAGAGGAUGAACAGCCACACUGGAACUGAGACACGGUCCAGACACCGACGGGAGGCAGCAGUGGGUAAUAUUGGACAAUGGGCGCAAGACUGAUCCAGCCAUACCGCGUGGAUGAAGAAGGCCUUCGGGUUGUAAAGCCCUUUUGUUGGGAAAGAAAAGCAGCAGGUUAAUACCCCGCUGUUCUGACGGUACCCAAAGAAUAAGCACCGGCUAACUUCGUG